Molecule: long non-coding RNA, 3406 nt
Filed under: Mus pahari (shrew mouse)
Lineage: Eukaryota; Metazoa; Chordata; Mammalia; Rodentia; Muridae
Description: lncRNA (MGP_PahariEiJ_G0003366.1)
Source: RNAcentral
UCAAGGCAGGACACUGGAAGCCAUGGGGUGGGGGUGGGGAUGGGGUCUGCUGCUUACCAGCUUGCUUUCCAUGGUCUGCUCAGCCUGCUUUUUUUCUAGCACCUACAGUGAGCUGGACCCUCCUGUAUCAGUCACUAAUUAAGAAAAUGUACCAUAGGCCUGCCUACAGGCCAUUCUGGUGAAGCCAUUUUCUUGAUGGUGGGUCUGUCUUUCCAAAUGUCUCUAGCUUAUGGGCAAGGUAACACAAAACUAGCCAGCACAGGUAGAGAUUAAUCAUUCAGAAUCUCUGUUACCAACUUUCCAGCUAUACUGUGAAAAAUGCUUUAACUAAAAACCUAAUAUGUACACUACAGAGUUAAAGAGGCAAUAAGCCAAGGGCAAAGAGUUCAUUCUUUUCCUUUGAUUCUGCGGACCAAACCCAGAGCCUUGUGAUUGGCAGGAAAGCACUUGACCACCGAGACAUGUCAUCUGCUAGUCUCUUCCCUUCUGUCUUGCCUGUUCUUUGCUGCCUUUUCAAGCAUCUACUGAAAAAAAAAAAGUGGCCCACUGACAUUUCUAAAGAUCCAAAUAAAUGAGGUUUGACGGUAGGCACUUGGGAAUGGCAAAGACUAUGCCAAACAGUGUGGGCAUUGUUAAGAGUAGAGACCCAUCUUUUCGUUUCCCUUUCAGUUUUAUGGCUAUUAUAUUCAUCAAACAAAACCCCUAUGCAGAAUGUUCAUAUCCAAAGACAAAUGUAAGAACCGCCUCUCGGUGACACAGUCAGAUUCCUGGGUGUGGAUGGAUAUCAUUUUUCCUAGGUGGGUUUUUAUUUGGAGUAAGUAAAAUAGCUGAUGAGGAGUGAGUAAAAUAGCCCUUGCUUUUGUAUACUACGCUGUCACUUACAAAGCACCCCAAAACUAUCUAAAAAGGGUUAUCUUGAAACAAAACCCAGAAAAAAGUCAAAUGAGAAAAGUUAUUCCCCACCACACGGUGCACUCUCCUCUCCAAAAAUACUUGCGUGCUGUUGUCAAAAGGUAAGCCAUGAAGAUUCUUUUCUUCCUUUCCAGCAAUCUUGGCAUGUGAUGCAGAACCAUCCCACUUGAGAAGGCCUUUCAGUUGCAGGCAGGGAGGUUACAGAUGGAGCAAAGAGAGGGAUCCAGCUCUGAGAUGUGACAUUCAGAGGCACGGUAAAUGACAGGAGCCGCCCAGGGAUGCCCUGUUUCAAGGAGAUCAGCAUUGCAAAUGUGGACGGAGGGCGUUUGUUGUAGACUUGCCUGACUCUUCCAGCUUCAGGUGCCAAAACACACGGUGUCCACUGUCAUCUGAUCCUGGGUUGGAUGCAUGCUUUUAAUCAUGAGCCAUCUGGAACCCAGGCAACACAACUCCCCUUCAGCUAUCUGAGGACCUGCCUGAAUCCUCCUACUGCCCUGGUCAUUCCUGCCUCCUUCAGCUGAGCUACCUGGAUGUCUGCUCCUGCAGUACUGAGAUAAAGAGGGCAUACAUCUUGGUCACCAAACAUUCAUUUGACCCUGUCAUUCCCUGAAUGUUGGAUUGGAAAACAAUUUCUAUUUCAAGAGAACAAGAUAAUCAAAAGAUAAUUCUUGAGGGCCAUUGCAAUACUGGAAAUCCAAGAGUUUAGAAAUGAAGCCACCGUGAAGAAGGCCACACAUCACAGUGCACAGUGUUGGUAUAUGACUUUGCUGGUGACACCCAAGCCCUAAACAGAGCAAAAUAAACUCCAGAGGUUAAGAGCAAGAUGCUCUCAAGAUUCAGUUUACCUGUUGAACCAGUCAUCUGUGUAUCGAGGGUAUGGAUAGGGGUCAUUGCUGCUGAAGUCAUAACUCGCAUCAGCGUUCUGAAAGACACAAGGUAUCUCAGGUCAGUAAAGCUGCAAACGUGUAAGGCGGGCUGAUGCUCUGAACAUACCAUCCUAUCUCCUCUCGGGAGGGGGUGCUAGUGCUCUGCAUUACUGCAUUUUGCACAUGUUUUUAUUUAUAAUAAUUGCAUAUUACAAGGACAGGCAUUUGCAAAAUUGUGACAGAGCUAGGGGGUCUCCCUAUUUCAAGCCUUAAAAGGCUUGACGAAUGGAACCCUGUGUUCUUCAGGUCUAGCUUCAUUUUAAGUUGGGGUGACUCUGUGUGUUAGGAAGCUUCACUUAGAAUCCCAGGCUUAGCCUAAGCGUCUUUGAUACGUUUGCUCACUGGUGGCCAGACUGCUUUAUUUCUUGGAUCACGCGUGAGGCAGUGUUUAGUGUUUAAGUCCUGCUUUCUGCUGAAGGCUCCUUUUCAUAAGGCGACUUCAGAACUGGCUCAUGUAAGUCUCAUCUCCUUUCCUCUCAAUGUGCUAACCUUUUUCUUGUCCCCCACAGUGAGCACAGUCAAUCUUGUUUAUUGUCUUUCUAACGACCAUGAAUAGUUCAAUGUAUGUCAGAGACAUAGAUAAGGAUGACAACUCGGUGCUGUCAUCCCUGCCCUUAUGCCUCUUAGAGCCUAGUUGGAGGAACAAACAUCCAUCGACUGGAUGUUGUUGAACAACUAAACAUGUAAUUGUACAUUUUCAUAGUCAUGUGCUCUUGUACCCUAUGAGAGUUAGGGGUGUGAAAUUCUGUCUUCCUGUAACUUCUCUUUUCCACUGUGAGACGUUUGCCACAUCAACUAAUCCAGACUCUAUUCAGUCAUUUCUACGUGAUUUUAUACUGUUCUUAGGUUUCUAUUUAGUUUGUUUUUGCUCUUGGCCUAUGCUGAAAGAUGCCUACUCUUACUGAGUGAAUAAUCUAGGCCUUCCCCAUUGCCUUCCCUGCCUUCCCAGGAAGGCUGGUCUGUGGAAAUUCUUUUCUCUAUUGUUUCUUCUUUGUUGAGUUUUGUAAGGAAAACUCCAGAAGGCUUCUUGAUUCACACUUGGUUAGGAAAGAGAUCUUCCUUCCAUCUUCAGUGUUUCCUUGAUUCCAUAGUCCUGAGACAUUUUAAGAGCUUUUAUGUGCUCCUUUAUGAGGUAAAAAUACUUUGGUAUGUGACACACUCUAACUUGAAAAGCUAAUGUCUCCUUGUUGUCAUGCUUUGGGCAGGAUAUUGACUAAUUCCAGUUAUUUUUAUUUGACUUGUUGGGUGACAAAGAGAUGCUAACCACCACUGUUUGUAGUGAUCUGAACUGUAGUAUAGGUUGAGCACCCAGAAUCUCCAACUGUGAAAUAUGUAAUUCCAACAUAGGAAACUAUUUGCAACCUGGGGAGAUGUCAGAAGUAGAAGUAAAUUCCACAUCUUACCUUGUGCUUAGUAUAGAUAUACUAUGAAUAUUAUAUCAAAAUAUCUUACGAUAAAAUUUCAAGGUAUGUAUAAAACUUAAGUGAUUUACUUGCGUACACUUGGGUCCCAUCCCCCAAAUAUCUCAUAUGUAUGUAACUAUUCUUAAGUAAAAAAUUAUCAAUCCC